This is an RNA transcript of Nicotiana attenuata, 2905 nucleotides long. RefSeq lists it as uncharacterized. NCBI's taxonomy places the organism in Eukaryota, Viridiplantae, Streptophyta, Magnoliopsida, Solanales, Solanaceae. The transcript has 3 exons. The record is from RefSeq and is a predicted model, not a curated record.
AAUUUCUUUUUUCUCUAAAAGCUUUAUCUAUACCUUAUCCAGAUGACCAGAUGUUCCCAAAGUUGUAACAAUUUCUUUCCAAAAACUCUAUCCCCUUUGACAAGAAUUCACUUCAAAUGGCUUCCAAUCUUCUUAAAUUCCAUGCACAACCCAUCCAAAAUUUUCACCCUUUGUUCCAUUUCAACCUUACCAAAUUGCCAUCCUCAACUUCUUCCUUAUGCUUUAUAGGAUCAACACAGCAACUUAACAAUCUUUAUCUCUCUGUUUCCUUCACAAAACCAACCAAGUUCAAUUUUUUACCUCUUCAAUGUUCACUCUCUUCUCCUACCCCACCUACCACUAAAGAAGAUGCCAUUUCCCAAGCAAAGUUGUCUCUUUUAACUACUUUAGAGAAACCCCUUAACAAUCCUAAGCUUGUUGGGAGACUCAAGAAACUCAAACAACCAAGAUUUCGUGUUGAAAUUCCAGUUGUUGAUGACUCCUCAUCUGCACUAUCUCAGCUUGCUCUUGAUAUUUUUGCAAACAUGCCCAUUAAAAGAAAAGGCCCAAAAAUCAAGAUUCUGCUUUUAUGGCCUAACCAAAGCUUAACUCAAGCUGCACAAAAAGCCUUUGAGAGUAAGUCUUCAAACCCCAUUAUUGAAAAUUUUGAUAUUUCAUCAAUAUCUGAUGAUGAGGAUAUCAGAAUGGUAAAUUCUGGAGAUGUGGUUGUGUUUAUGGCUCCAGAGGUUUCAAGAUUAAGUGUAAUGGAGGCUAUUGCUGAUACAUUGUAUCCAAAGCCUGUGGUGAUUUUCAAUCCCAAAUGGGGGUUUGAUGAAGAAAGUAGCUUUGGUAAGUUGAGUGGAUUUGUGGGUUCAUUUGAGGUUGUGUAUUCAUUUAUGGGAUUAGAGGUUAAAGGAAUAUUGAGUAAGAGAAAUGGUGUGAUGUUUAAGUGUGUGAGGAAUGGGGUUUUGAGUGGUGAGAAAUGGUAUGUCUUUGUUGAAGAAGAUGGAGAAUUGAAGGUGGUUUCGAGGUUUAAAACAAGGCCAUCAAUUGAGGAAGUUGAGAAUGUUUUGUAUAACUUGAUGGCGAUUAAUUCACCAAUCACAAAGUCAGCAAAGUUCUUGAAAGAUUUGGUGUCAAAUGUAAGGGGACAAAAGUGAAGCACGCCAAUUCAAGGAUCAAGUUCUUUGCUAUCAGAGGAUGAGAAAACUCUUGUUUUCUCCCUGCACGUGUCCAUAGCUGUGCUCAUCUUUCCAUUCAUUUCAAUGUACUAUAGAGGUGAAAGAUCAGUUUGAGCUACGAUGUCAUAAUCCAGGAAGACUACCUUAUCAAGAGUGGGAAACAACUGAAAAGAUAUUCAUACUUUGUAGAAAUAUUACAACUAUUUCAAGGAGAGGGAGGAAUGGAUGUUACAUUCAUUCUAAGUACAUGUAAUUUACUUUAUGAUUUCAAGGCUUACCUCCGCCAAAUUAUCCUUUUGUGGUUAUCGGACUGAGGGUUUGUAACUUUUGCUGCAAUAUGUUGGGCUUCCCCCUUUCUUCUUGACCCUCCCGUGUACUGUGACCUUGCCUUUUGGUCUUUCUCCAUUAAUUCCUUAACUCGAACAAUCCCCUUUGUGAACCUAUUAAACUUAUGCACCAUUUAACUGCAAUGAUAGAAAGGGGCAAAGGAUUGAAAGAAAAAUCAAGCUUGCAUUGGUGAAUAGGGCUUUCUAUCUGUUAUUAUGCGAAGGACAACCUUCUUCAGAUACCAGGAGUUCUUGAGAAGUGAUGAUGCAACAACAAAAGCGGCAUGAAUAUUAUCAGAGGCAAGUACGUGUUGGGAGUGUGAAUUAUCAGCUAAGGCAGGGACAAGUUAUUGAUAACAACUGAGACGGGCGUUGGCAUUCAUUGGAUGCUCAUGUGCUAGCUUCACAGCAAGACAAUGCAGCAGUUCUAGAAUGCUGCUAGAUGCUACAUGCCGGUACUAUAGAGUGCAGGGGAAUCAAGAGAUUUAAAUACAUGAUUCUACAAUUACCUAAUAGAAGAACAGCUCAGGAGAUCUUUAGGAUGCAAACAGCAAAAUGGCUGUUCACAUCAAUGAAAGAAAAUAGAAAUGGUGGUUUAACUUCACUGUGAGUAUGUUCUUUCUUUACUAGUACAAUUUUCUACCAACUCGAACGGCAAUAGAACUUUAGUGUUUCACUUGUUAUUUUGCUUUGUACUGUGAAUUUGUGAUUCUCCUAAGGUUGUCUAUGUACCUAGCAAGCAUAAUCAGCUUAUUUUUAUAUUAUACCUUCUUCAUACUGCUAUAUUAUACCUUCUUCAUACUGCUAUAUUCUGCUGAAAUAUUUUCAAGCCUUUGUGCUCAGAGACAGCUGUGCUAACGCUUCCUGGGCUAUUAUAUCUGCAAUAUUUUCUUGAAACCUUUAGCUGGUAAAACUGUGACAGGCCUAAGACUUGGUGAUAAUUGGAGCUGCAUCAUUUCUAACUUUCAAAUACGAGAGAUGCUGUAAGAGAAAGGACUUAUCGUCUUUACUACCUCUUAAGAGUUAUGUGAGUGCAUAACGGUAUAUAUUUUGUACUCAAGUUACUAAUGAAAUCAUUACCAUAAUAAUCGUCACAGUACUCAAGGGUGUGGCCUAGUGGUCAAUGAAGUGGGGGUGUGAACCAUGAGGUCUCGGGUUCAAAUCCUAGUGGAGACAAAAAAUUAUUAGUUAUUUCUUCCCAUCUAUCCAAGCCUCGGGGGUAGAGUUACCCGGUACCUGUUGCUGGAAUUAGUCAAAGUUCGCGCAAGCUAGCCCGGACAAUUGCCUUGCCUUGACCAUAAUGUUUCUGCGAGAAAAAGCUUACCCGCGUCUUAUGUCUCCACCAAAUUAGUAAAUUUGUGACCCUUAAGAUCAAAUCAUUUGGUUUGAUGCAAAUAUUGGCCGCAAGUUUUUUUUCCA